Molecule: ribosomal RNA, 406 nt
Filed under: uncultured bacterium
Lineage: Bacteria
Description: bacterial SSU rRNA
Rfam family: Bacterial small subunit ribosomal RNA
Source: RNAcentral
UGGGGAAUAUUGCGCAAUGGGGGAAACCCUGACGCAGCGACGCCAUGUGAAGGAUGAAGGCUUUAGGGUCGUAAACUUCUGUCAAGAGGGACGAAAAUUUGACUGUACCUCUUAAGAAAGCACCGGCUAACUCCGUGCCAGCAGCCGCGGUAAUACGGAGGGUGCAAGCGUUAUUCGGAAUUACUAGGUGUAAAGGGCGUGUAGGCGGUUUAAUAAGUUAGAUGUGAAAGCUCAUAGCUCAACUGUGAGACGGCAUCUAAAACUAUUAGACUUGAGUAUGGAAGGGGAAAACGGAAUUUCUAGUGUAGCGGUGGAAUGUGUAGAUACUAGAAGGAACAUCGAUGGCGAAAGCGGUUUUCUGGUCUAAUACUGACGCUAAGGCGCGAAAGCUAGGGGAGCAAACAGG